GAUGAACGCUGGCGGCGUGCCUAAUACAUGCAAGUCGAGCGACCGGACGAGAAGCUUGCGUCCCUGAUGUUAGCGGCGGACGGGUGAGUAACACGUGGGUAACCUACCUAUAAGACUGGGAUAACUUCGGGAAACCGGAGAUACUACCGGAUAAUAUUUUGAACCGCAUGGUUCAAAAGUGAAAGACGGUCUUGCUGUCACUUAUAGAUGGAUCCGCGCUGCAUUAGCUAGUUGGUAAGGUAACGGCUUACCAAGGCAACGAUGCAUAGCCGACCUGAGAGGGUGAUCGGCCACACUGGAACUGAGACACGGUCCAGACUCCUACGGGAGGCAGCAGUAGGGAAUCUUCCGCAAUGGGCGAAAGCCUGACGGAGCAACGCCGCGUGAGUGAUGAAGGUCUUCGGAUCGUAAAACUCUGUUAUUAGGGAAGAACAUAUGUGUAAGUAACUGCGCACAUCUUGACGGUACCUAAUCAGAAAGCCACGGCUAACUACGUG
This 497-nucleotide ribosomal RNA is filed under the name uncultured bacterium. Its description in RNAcentral is "partial 16S ribosomal RNA". It matches the Rfam family "Bacterial small subunit ribosomal RNA", at positions 28 to 507 of the family's 1533-position model. The record is from RNAcentral.